RNAcentral lists this long non-coding RNA (207 nucleotides) under Physcomitrium patens. RNAcentral describes it as "long non-coding RNA (PPAT_LNC009350)". The record is from RNAcentral. Lineage: Eukaryota; Viridiplantae; Streptophyta; Bryopsida; Funariales; Funariaceae.
AGCUUUGACUUCGACCAGCCAUUUCUUCCUCUCUAUAGAUCUAAUUUCAUCAAAUCUUGCAUAAUAGUUAAAGCCCUUCAAGUCAACUUGUCAACUCCACCUUCCGUCUUUCUAAAACUCUUUGUAUGCUUGAAAGAGUGAUAGUAGGUACAAAUUUCACAUCCAGACUUUAAACAGCUAUAACUCUCUCAUUGCAGACUCAAAGUU